GGCCAGUAUGAGUCCCACAUGGCCUUCACAAUGCCUGGUCUGUACCGUGUUGUCCACGGUAUUGAUGUGUUUGACCCGAAGUUCAACAUUGUCUCACCUGGUGCGGACAUGUCCAUCUACUUCCCUUACACCGAGUCACACAAGAGGCUGACCUCCCUCCACCCUGAGAUUGAGGAGCUCCUCUACAGCCAAACGGAGAACAACGAGCACAAGUAAGAAUCAUGUCAUACUUAGCUUAAGCUGUGUUGUACGUGACACAUUCGUUGCUGGUCAUCUGACUACAAUCCCUCUGUGCAGGUUUGUGCUGAACGACAGGAACAAGCCCAUCAUCUUCUCCAUGGCUCGUCUUGACCGCGUCAAGAACUUGACUGGUCUGGUUGAGCUGUACGGCCGGAACAAGCGGCUGCAGGAGUUGGUUAACCUUGUGGUUGUCUGCGGUGACCACGGCAACCCUUCCAAGGACAAGGAGGAGCAGGCUGAGUUCAAGAAGAUGUUUGACCUUAUCGAGCAGUACAACCUGAACGGGCACAUCCGCUGGAUCUCUGCCCAGAUGAACCGUGUCCGCAACGGUGAGCUCUACCGCUACAUUUGCGACACCCAGGGUGCUUUCGUGCAGGUAACUAUCACGCUCCUGCGGGCUUUUCAUGGUGCUGAAAGAUUCAUGCUUGAGUGCAAAUUUAGUCGGUACUGACCAUGCCUGUUUUCUGCAGCCUGCUUUCUAUGAGGCUUUCGGUCUGACUGUGGUUGAGGCCAUGACCUGCGGUCUGCCCACAUUCGCUACCGCCUACGGUGGUCCAGCUGAGAUCAUCGUGCACGGCGUGUCCGGCUACCACAUUGACCCGUACCAGGGCGACAAGGCCUCGGCGCUGCUUGUGGACUUCUUUGAGAAGUGCAAGGAGGACUCCAGCCACUGGAGCAAGAUCUCGCAGGGUGGGCUCCAGCGUAUCGAGGAGAAGUAUGCAUCUUAUUUGUAGCACACUGAUCUCUGUAUUUCCAUGGCAAUGUUUCUCACUUGCUAAUGUUGUCAUUCCACCAAUUCUGUUGAUCCAGAUACACCUGGAAGCUCUACUCGGAGAGGCUGAUGACCCUGACCGGCGUGUACGGGUUCUGGAAGUACGUGUCUAACCUGGAGAGGCGCGAGACCCGGCGGUACCUGGAGAUGCUGUACGCGCUCAAGUACCGCACCAUGGC
Molecule: long non-coding RNA, 1191 nt
Filed under: Setaria viridis
Lineage: Eukaryota; Viridiplantae; Streptophyta; Magnoliopsida; Poales; Poaceae
Description: long non-coding RNA (SVIR_LNC011218)
Source: RNAcentral